Molecule: unclassified non-coding RNA, 364 nt
Filed under: Hevea brasiliensis (rubber tree)
Lineage: Eukaryota; Viridiplantae; Streptophyta; Magnoliopsida; Malpighiales; Euphorbiaceae
Source: RNAcentral
GUGGGAUCCUGGAGACACUUUGAUGUCAACCUUGUAAUGUGGGGGAAAGAAAUGUUUAAGUUUCACUCUCAGACAGAGACCAAUCACAGUCGCCAUACUACAAUGCUGAAUAGUCGGAGUGAAAGUUAUCAGGAUACGCCCUAGCUUCUCAUCGACGGUGAUCGAUUCCUCCGAGAGAACACUAAGCUGCUCUAACGAAUAUGGAUGCUCCGGAUCUCUAAUAUCCCUCACGAAAUCGUAGAUUUCGAGAGGAUCGACGGCGUCGUCACCGUGGAAGUCCUCUGAGCGAGCGAUCCGCUCCUUCUUGGCGUGAACCACCGGGUUCGCAUUGAUAAGCCCAAGCGUCAUCCUUCUUCUUCUUCUU